RNAcentral lists this long non-coding RNA (4137 nucleotides) under Sorghum bicolor (sorghum). RNAcentral's name for it is "long non-coding RNA (SBIC_LNC006982)". The record is from RNAcentral. Lineage: Eukaryota; Viridiplantae; Streptophyta; Magnoliopsida; Poales; Poaceae.
GAUUGGAUCUAUAUACAUGCUUUGGAUCGUAUAGCGUUUAUCCAUCAGAUCCAUGGGUAAAUGAUAGAUAUUGUGUAGGCGUGGUGCUUAUACCGUAUUUAUCUUCCAUAUGCACUUCCCCUGAGAGAAGGUACGCCAUUAUUUUACUGACCCUAACUAUAUCGUUGAAGAAUCUAAGCAGGUGAGGAAACGACGCAACCGCAACCAGAUGAGGCAAAUCAUCAAGGACGGAUGGGCAGACUAUGAAGGAGAAGUUGUAAGGUCAGAAGACGUAGAGUUUAAAGAGAACUAUCCAGAGGAGACUGAAGCACCGAGUCAGGUAUGGAAAGAGAAGAUAAUUACAUAAAGAGGAGGCGCUGCCGGAAGUACCGACUCCGCCACCCAACGAACCUCAGGACAAUUGAGAAAAUGGAGAGUCCCAUUCGGAGUACUUAAAAACACCGAACGCCUUGCCAAGACGUAAACUUGGUAGUUAUCCUUUCCCUUUCAAUUAUUUAAAAUAGUUUGCUUAGUUACUUAUGUUCAUGCUAUCCUAAAAAGAAAAUAAAAAUGUGAAAAACAGUAAGCCCCAUGUGAGUAGACGAGUGGCAUAAAACCCAUAAGUACAUUCACUGUGGUGGCAUAAAAAUAAAAUAAAUAUUUCAUUUCUGCUUUAUAAAAUGAAAAUAUAAAAACAGGGAGUAAUAUUUAUUGAGGAGUCUCAACAUGAUAAAGGCUAGAUAUUUAUGCUAACACUUAAUCAGUUCCACAAGCUUUGUUGUCUAUUUGAGCUCCACAGAAUUCAAGAAUCAAGAAGACUAGCAGACGAAGGACAUUCUAAUCGCUGUCAGAAUGCUGCUGACUUUCAAAUACACCUCUGCCACCUGCUAGCUACAUCAAGAGAAAUUAUGUCAAAAUUCAGCUUGGGGGAGAGCACCCCCAUUUAUUCCGAUAAGUAUUUCUAUCUAUCUAUCUUUAUACUUAUACUAUAUUAAAAUAUAAAUAUACAUAAACUAGGAAAAACCAAAUAAAUAUUUUGUGCUUAUAUAUAUCUUUUGCUUAGUAUGUUUAAUAAAUAAAUAAAGUGGCUAUGCUAAUCUGUAUCUAAAUAAAACUCAAGCAUGGAUAUGAUGAAUAGUUGCUCUGCCUAAUUUGCAAAUUUUAAGUUCUCUCUCAAGUUUAGACAUAAUUGUUAUAAUUUAAAGCUUGCUCUAGACCUAAACUUGUGGGAUGAAAACUUGAUCUGAAGUCUAAGUUGUUAACGGAUAUGAUAUGGGAAGGUUGAGCUGUUGUUUAUCUGUUCCUAGAGAUGCUAGAAUUCUGGAGAAUUUUAUCUUUGAAAAUCUUUAAAAUGUUGCAUGAUGAGUUCCUGUAUGAUGAGAGUUUAAAUUCCUACCACAGCCAUAUAUACAUGCUUGCUAGACUUUGAGCCACACAUUUACUAUUUACUGCUUAUGAGCAUUGAGUGUGGUCAAGCUGUGUAGACCCUUAGGAGUUUGUCAUGUGGUUAAAUCAAGAUUUCACUUGCACGUUCACUCAUAUAUGCUACUUCUACUCCGGAAGUAUCAUUCACAUAUAUCCACCCAUUUCCAUCUCCAGAACCACCCAAAAAUAUUCUACUCCUAACCCGGGAGAGAAUAGACAAAAAUAUUUCUGUUUUUCCUUUAUGAAAUAAAUGCUCAAGUUAUCUUGUUACUACCGCUUGCUAUAUUAUCUCAAGAGAUGAGUGCUCUAAAAAAAAGAUACGAGGAAAUAAAAAGGAGCAAGUGCUCGGAACCUCGAAAGAAACGAAAAAAGUGAGACGAGAGGUAAAAAUGGACAAGUGUCCGACAGUAGAAUUAGGGGUACAAGAUACCCACGUGAGAGAAAAGAAAAAGAAGAGCAUCUCAUUCUCCUCAUAAAAAUUCAAAAAGCAAGGAAGGUAUGUAUCCCCUCAAAAGAGCAAAGUAGAAUUAGACUUUCACCAUUGUUAUCACCAUCAUCACCAUACACCAUUCAAUCGCCACACAUGCACAUCUUGAUUAAACUUAUUGACUUGUUUCUUUGGAUCCAUGGUUUGACUAUACAAUAAAUGUCUUGUAAGUAUGUAUACUUUAUCUCCCACCUAUGAGCUCUAGAUAUUAAAGCCUUAUUAGAGUAGGGUGAGAGAGAAGGCAAUGUCACUAUGCUUUAUACCACAAAUACUACAUAUCUUGAGAGAAGGCAUAUACCAUCACUGCCUUGGUAAGGAUCCAGAAAUACCACAAAAGAGAGAUAUGAGAGAAUCAUACAAGGAAUCUCUGAGUUUUAUUUGAAAAUCUACAAAAACUCUAGAGCUAUAGCUGAUCAAGAAUAAGAGACAUGGCACUUGGCUAGACUGUUCUAUCUUUUAACUACUCAAGACAGAAGUGACGGUUACAAGUCCCAUGGUGAAGGUAAAGUAAGUAAGUUUUAAGUCUUGACAGUUUACUCUAACUCAGAGAUGAGAUCUUAUUUUAAAAGCAUGUGUACUGUCAAUUUUUAAAGAUAUUGCAACAACUUCUAAUCCAUUGCUGAGUCUGUCCUUGCUCAGGGACGAGCAAGAGGUAAGCUUGGGGGAGUUUGUUGACGGUCCUUAAGUAUUAAAUUUAAUUAUUAAAUAAACAAAGAAAAGGAUCCAAAUGAAAUCAACAUCCAGACUUAGGGUUUUAUGUGACAGAAUUCCACAAGUUUUGGUGUUUGUCUAUUUCUGCAGGGGGUUAUCAGGAAAUACGGAAGAAAGGCCCACACGUCGGGAUUACAUAGAGAUAUUAACGUGCCGCGUAAUUAUCUUACAUCUAGAAGACUCCAGAAGCCAUGAGACCGAAGCGGAGGCGAUACGGGGCCAGAGGCGGGGUGCCCGCCCUCCUGCCCUGGGCGCCCACCCCCUCAGAGAGUCCAAUCAGGACUCUGCUUCGUGGGAGAUCUCCACCGACCUAAAGGAUCAAGGAUAACCGUUCAAUCUAAGUCGGUUUGAUCCAACGGCCCAUAUUCACUUGAAGGGACUAUAAAACCAGACCCCCUGGCCCCUGGAGGAGAGAGCCUCUCAACCCUAAUUCAUUAUUCUCAAGGGAGAAGAAGCUUCUGAUCAAGAUUAGAGCCACCACAUCAAUUAGAUAUCUAGAUUAGCAUAGCUACAUAGGAUUAGAACUAGAAGGAGUCAAUCUUUGAUUGGUUUCCGGAUCUGUCAAGAGGAUUCUUGGUAGUUCUCUAAUUGUUCUUCUAAUUAUCUUUGUUCUUCAAUAUUAUGAAUAUGACUUUGUUCUACUUCAAUAUAUUGCUUAUGACUUUGCUCUACUUGUUUAUAUUCAAGAUUAUAUUGUUCUUAGUUUAUCGUAGUUAUGUACUUGGCUUAGUUAGAUUGGAUCUAUAUACAUGCUUUGGAUCGUAUAGCGUUUAUCCAUCAGAUCCAUGGGUAAAUGAUAGAUAUUGUGUAGGCGUGGUGCUUAUACCGUAUUUAUCUUCCAUAUGCACUUCCCCUGAGAGAAGGUACGCCAUUAUUUUACUGACCCUAACUAUAUCGUUGAAGAAUCUAAGCAGGUGAGGAAACGACGCAACCGCAACCAGAUGAGGCAAAUCAUCAAGGACGGAUGGGCAGACUAUGAAGGAGAAGUUGUAAGGUCAGAAGACGUAGAGUUUAAAGAGAACUAUCCAGAGGAGACUGAAGCACCGAGUCAGGUAUGGAAAGAGAAGAUAAUUACAUAAAGAGGAGGCGCUGCCGGAAGUACCGACUCCGCCACCCAACGAACCUCAGGACAAUUGAGAAAAUGGAGAGUCCCAUUCGGAGGACUUAAAAACACCGAACGCCUUGCCAAGACGUAAACUUGGUAGUUAUCCUUUCCCUUUCAAUUAUUUAAAAUAGUUUGCUUAGUUACUUAUGUUCAUGCUAUCCUAAAAAGAAAAUAAAAAUGUAAAAAACAGUAAGCCCCAUGUGAGUAGACGAGUGGCAUAAAACCCAUAAGUACAUUCACUGUGGUGGCAUAAAAAUAAAAUAAAUAUUUCAUUUCUGCUUUAUAAAAUGAAAAUAUAAAAACAGGGAGUAAUAUUUAUUGAGGAGUCUCAACAUGAUAAAGGCUAGAUAUUUAUGCUAACACUUAAUCAGUUCCACAAGCUUUGUUGUCUAUUUGAGCUCCACAGAAUUCAAGAAUCAAGAAGACUAGC